Molecule: unclassified non-coding RNA, 240 nt
Filed under: soil metagenome
Description: partial contains 5.8S ribosomal RNA, internal transcribed spacer 2, and large subunit ribosomal RNA
Source: RNAcentral
AACGCACGAGACCUGCGGACCUGCGGAGGGAUCAUUACAGAGUUGCAAAACUCCAAACCAUUGUGAACUUACCUUUGCCGUUGCUUCGGCGGGCGGCCCGGGUCCCGACCCGGCGCCCCCCGGCCCCGUCAGGGGCGCCCGCCGGAGGUAAACCAAACUCUUGAAUUGUAUGGCCUCUCUGAGUCUUCUGUACUGAAUAAGUCAAAACUUUUAGCAAUGGAUCUCUAGAUCGGAAGAGCA